UACGGAGGGUGCAAGCAUUGAUCGGAAUUACUGGGCGUAAAGGGCGCGUAGGCGGUACUGUAAGUCGGACGUGAAAUUCCGUGGCUCAACCACGGAGCUGCGUUUGAAACUACAGAACUAGAGUACAGUUAGGGUAAACGGAAUUCCACGUGUAGCGGUGAAAUGCGUAGAUAUGUGGAAGAACACCGGUGGUGAAGACGGUUUACUGGGCUGAAACUGACGCUGAGGCGCGAAAGCAUGGGGAGCAAACAGG
This 253-nucleotide ribosomal RNA is filed under the name uncultured bacterium. RNAcentral describes it as "partial 16S ribosomal RNA". It matches the Rfam family "Bacterial small subunit ribosomal RNA", at positions 524 to 776 of the family's 1533-position model. The record is from RNAcentral.